RNAcentral lists this non-coding RNA (88 nucleotides) under Pseudomonas thivervalensis. Lineage: Bacteria; Pseudomonadati; Pseudomonadota; Gammaproteobacteria; Pseudomonadales; Pseudomonadaceae. The record is from RNAcentral. RNAcentral also lists the same sequence under 1 other name.
CUCAAUGGCGGCUGUGUGCGGGAGACCUUCGGGUCUGCCGGGUUCCUGGUUUCCCGGUCUUGCAGACCCGCGCAUAGCUGCCACCCAU